AACGAACGCUGGCGGCAUGCCUAACACACGCAAGUCGAACGAGAUCUUCGGGUCUAGUGGCGCACGGGUGCGUAACGCGUGGGAAUCUGCCCUUUGGUUCGGAAUAACAGUUGGAAACGACUGCUAAUACCGGAUGAUGACGAAAGUCUAAAGAUUUAUCGCCAGAGGAUGAGCCCGCGUAGGAUUAGCUAGUUGGUGUGGUAAAGGCGCACCAAGGCGACGAUCCUUAGCUGGUCUGAGAGGAUGAUCAGCCACACUGGGACUGAGACACGGCCCAGACUCCUAGGGGAGGCAGCAGUGGGGAAUAUUGGACAAUGGGCGAAAGCCUGAUCCAACAAUGCCGCGUGAGUGAUGAGGGCCUUAGGGUUGUAAAGCUCUUUUACCCGGGAUGAUAAUGACAGUACCGGGAGAAUAAGCCCCGGCUAACCCCGUGCCAGCCGCCGCGGUAA
This 449-nucleotide ribosomal RNA is filed under the name uncultured bacterium. RNAcentral's name for it is "partial 16S ribosomal RNA". It matches the Rfam family "Bacterial small subunit ribosomal RNA", at positions 29 to 523 of the family's 1533-position model. The record is from RNAcentral.